AGUGAGUGAGUGAGUGAGUGAGUGAGUGAGUGAGUGAGUGAGUGAGUGAGUGAGUGAGUGAGUGAGUGAGUGAGUGAGUGAGUGAGUGUCUGUAAUGGUGUGUUAAUGUCGCGCAGGUCAGUGCUCCACGUCCUCAGUAGAUCUGGAGACGGACUCGGCCACAGACUCGGAGCUGCGUGAGGGGAUGCUGGGACGAACCGUGGAGGCCGAUAUGGACGACAGAGGUCUGGAGACGCCCAUCUUCUGUAUGGACAGCAAGACCAACGAGAGCUCCUGCCCCUCAUGGCUGCAGAAGGAGCUGCUGGAUGCUGAGUUCAUCCCGAUGCCCGACGAUUCCCAGGACUCCAUCGAGCCGCUGACGAAGCCCUACACCGAGAGCGCCACGCUGCCCUACGAGGAGCUGGACCAGAUCAAAGCCACCGCCGCCGCCGCCGCCGCCACGGGAAAGAGCCUUAUGCCGGCUGCAUGCGUGGAUUACGAGCGGAUGAACGGCGUGGAGACGGGACGCUCCGAGCAGAGCUGCUGUGGCGCGAGCAUCGAGCUGGCAAACCUCAGAGAAACCGUGAACCGUCAGGACGCCCAAGUGCAGCUCUUACAGAAACAGGUGAGUUAAAUCUGUCUGAGCACUAUUAGACUGAAAACACUGACUGCUGACCGCAUGUUAUGCUCACGUGUUCUGAUAAUAAUAGCUGUGUAGGACUAAACAUUAUUUGGAUAUAAUUGGUAAAAAAAACUAAAUCUCUUAAUAGCCCUCUGUUAGACCUACCUGAAAAACUAAAGAGGAAUUUAUUUCAUUUGAAUCGUUAUUGUUAUUUGUGCUAUCAUUAGUGAUUUCAUUUGUUCUUAUUUUGACUGCUUACUUGUCAUUUUUGAUUCAAUUCAAAGUUUGAAAUCAAGCUAUCUCGUGCUACUGCAAUGAUAUUACCCAGCUGUAAAAUCAGAAAUACACUGAGUGAGCCACGAUGUUUACAUAUGAUUAAAAGCCUACAUUAAAAUAUGUCAUUUAAAGUGGUCUCUUUUUGUAAUAUUAAAAAUAUCUGUAAUACAGUAUAUUCUGCUGUCCCUGCUGUACCGAAUAUCUAUACUUUUCAAGGUAUCAUAUCGAAGUUAGAAAUUCAAGUAUUGCGACAAAAUUAAUUUUGUAGGGUGCCACAAAUUUGUUAAAAUUUCCAAAGGGUGCCGCGACUUUAAAAAAAAAAAAGGUUGGGAAACACUGGUUUAGACAAAUGAAAAUCUGCUGAAAAUGUGCUCCCCCUCAGGCCAUCCGAGAUUAAAUCUUCAUCAGGUUUGGAGAAAUGUAGCAUUGCAUCAGUGUCUCAGCAAUGGAUGUGAAUGGGUGCCGUCAGAAUGAGAGUCCAAACAGCUGAUAAACAUCACAAUAAUCCACAAGUAAUCCACAGCACUCCAGUCCAUCAGUUAACAUCUGGAGAAGACAAAAGCUGAAACUAAUCCAGCAUCAAGACAUUUUUAACUAAAAUACAUAGAGUCUAUAAUCCAUAAUAACGCUUCCUCCAGUGAGUCAGUGUUCUGGUGUGAAUCAGGAGAGAAAUCUGCACAGAUCAAGCAGCGUUUAAACAGCUCUAAACACAUAUGUGGCUGGAUUUUGAUGUGAGAGACAACAGCAGAUGCACUUUUUCACUGGAGGAAGAGUUAUUAUGGAUUAUGGACUCGUAUUUUUCAGUUUUAGUCUUCUCCAGAUGUGAACUGAUGGACUGGAGUGCUGUGGAUUAUUGUGAUGUUUUUAUCAGCUGUUUGGACUCUCAUUCUGACGGCACCCAUUCACUGCAGAGCAUCCAUUGCUGAGACACUGAUGCAGUGCUACAUUUCUACAAACCUGACGAAGAAACAAACUCAUCCUGAUCUCGUAUAAAGCUAUUUUUCACAUUUGGCUAAACUACCGAUUGCUUAAAGGGUUGAUUAGAUAGCUAAGUGUUGUGUUGGUAAUGAACAACUGAAGGAGGGUUCUGGAAGUGUGUCAUUAGCGGUUUAAUACUCCACAAAUCUCGUGCUCCGCUGAAUGUGUUUUUUCAAGCUAACUAGACACGAUUGUUUUUUCUGUAAAUGUCUGUCAGUUCAACGAUCAGCUGAAGGAGAACGAGAGACUGUGGAGAGCCAUUCAGAGCCUCAGAGCAGAUGCUGGACUCCAGGACAUCAGUCAAAACCACCGCUCUGCCCUUCAGGAGAAGUGAGAGAUCAGUCAGACUAACCUGUUAAUACUGCUUGCAGUGAGUGUGCUCCGUGCUAAAUCCAGACAGAUUGAGGGGGUUUCGCCAAAAUCAUUAGUGCCUUUUCAUAACCAAAGACUGUACGAGUUCUUUCAUGCUGCUAAUGUCAAGCCAAAGCGCUCCGUAUCUUUUAGUGCUGUGUGUAUGGACAUAAACCGUGAGUGUUUUAUCUGGGAACAACAUUGAAUAAUGUCAGUUUAAUCACGAGACAAUCCCUCCAGAACGAAUGUAAGAAAAGUGUCAUAAAUGGUUCACUUCAGUCCUCAUGGGUUUAACGCUUUCAUAUUCAACAUUCAGCACAAUAUGUGACCCUGGAGCACAAAACCAGUCAUAAGGGUCAAUUUUUCAAAUUUGUUUGGAUAGGACGAUAUUUGAAAAUCUGGAAUCUGAGGGUGCAAAAAAAUCUAAAUAUUGAGAAAAUCAUCUUUAAAGUUGUUCAAAUGAAGUUCUUAGCAAUGCAUAUUACUAAUCAAACAUUAAGUUUGGAUAUAUUUACGGUACGGUAGGUCAUUAAUAUCUUCAUGGAACAUGAUCUUUACUUAAUAUCCUAAUGAUUUUUGGCAUAAAAGAAAAAUCUAUAAUUUUGACUUUUGUGCUGCAGGGUCACAUUUUGUUUUCAGAUGCUCUUUUAUAAUGAGAUGAAAUUGUAAAGUUGAAAGUGCCUCUAUAUUAGUUUGUCUUCAGUGUAUCAGUGUUAAUGUCAUUCGUACAGUGUUUUGCGUGUUAUUCUCACAGAUUUUAUCUUUCCUAUGCAAGCAGGUCUAAUGCAGCCGAUGUGUUUCAAUCAAAGAUUCUUAUAAACACUUCAAAGCUGCUUCGUGUAUGAAUGUGAAGCCAAAUCAUGGUUCGUUUGCGUCACUGCUCUCUGCUUUUCAUAUGCAUGCUAAUGUCUACGUGUACAAGUUUUGCAGUAAUUUCACAUUUAUAUUAGAGUAAGUUGUGCAUACACAUCGUGUCAAAACUACUGAAUUUCUAGUAUUUUCAUUUCUUUAGCAUUCUUGUCUGUUUUAUGUAUAUUGCCAAAUAUUGGAGAACGACACCAAGUUUAUGCAAAUCUGUGGAGCGAAGGUAAAACGCAGUACAGAUCUCUGAGACUCGUAUCUGUCCUUUGACAGACGGCUUCGGAUCAGAGAAAACUGCAGAAACUGCCUGAGCUCCAGUGUUGCUGUAGUCACUGCAUUCUGCCGGUGUAUUGCCUUCACUUUUGCAUGUUUUUAAAGCAAGUGCAACCAAAUGUUUUCAUUGUUUGUGUGUGUUUUAUUCACAUUUAUUUCAUUUGUUUUUCUUUCAUUUCUGUACUCUGAAACUGUGUCAUAUAUUUGAGACAUGCUUUUGAGGUGUUUUUAUGCUUCAUACACUCAUAUCAGACACUGACUGAUGCACAUUUUUCAUUAAAAGAGGUGAGGCAAAAUGUCACACUGAUGUUGGGGUCAUUUU
This 3662-nucleotide long non-coding RNA is filed under the name Sinocyclocheilus grahami. RNAcentral describes it as "lncRNA (ENSSGRG00000050072.1)". Lineage: Eukaryota; Metazoa; Chordata; Actinopteri; Cypriniformes; Cyprinidae. The record is from RNAcentral.